GGGAAGUUAGCUCAGUGGUAGAGUGCUUGCCUCGCAUGCAUGAGGCCCGGGGUUCAAUUCCUCAGCACCUUA
This is a non-coding RNA of Dipodomys ordii (Ord's kangaroo rat), 72 nucleotides long. Lineage: Eukaryota; Metazoa; Chordata; Mammalia; Rodentia; Heteromyidae. The record is from Rfam.